RNAcentral lists this ribosomal RNA (468 nucleotides) under uncultured bacterium. RNAcentral describes it as "partial 16S ribosomal RNA". It matches the Rfam family "Bacterial small subunit ribosomal RNA", at positions 28 to 507 of the family's 1533-position model. The record is from RNAcentral.
GACGAACGCUGGCGGCGUGCUUAACACAUGCAAGUCGAACGGAAAGGCCCUGCUUUUGUGGGGUGCUCGAGUGGCGAACGGGUGAGUAACACGUGAGUAACCUGCCCUUGACUUUGGGAUAACUUCAGGAAACUGGGGCUAAUACCGGAUAGGAGCUCCUGCUGCAUGGUGGGGGUUGGAAAGUUUCGGCGGUUGGGGAUGGACUCGCGGCUUAUCCGCUUGUUGGUGGGGUAGUGGCUUACCAAGGCUUUGACGGGUAGCCGGCCUGAGAGGGUGACCGGCCACAUUGGGACUGAGGUACGGCCCAGAGUGCUACGGGAGGCAGCAGUGGGGAAUAUUGCACACUGGGCGGAAGCCUGAUGCAGCAACGCCGCGUGCGGGAUGACGGCCUUCGGGUUGUAAACCGCUUUCGCCUGUGACGAAGCGUGAGUGACGGUAAUGGGUAAAGAAGCACCGGCUAACUACGUG